AGGGCAGCGUCGACUCGUCUCCACAACCGUCGUCCUGGGCAGAUUGCUGCUCCCCCCGCCCGCUCCCCAUCUCUCCCCCGUCGCGGCUGACCCCACGAC
Molecule: non-coding RNA, 99 nt
Filed under: Lotharella globosa
Lineage: Eukaryota; Cercozoa; Chlorarachniophyceae
Source: RNAcentral